This 539-nucleotide ribosomal RNA is filed under the name uncultured Caryophanales bacterium. RNAcentral's name for it is "bacterial SSU rRNA". It matches the Rfam family "Bacterial small subunit ribosomal RNA", at positions 8 to 529 of the family's 1533-position model. Lineage: Bacteria; Bacillati; Bacillota; Bacilli; Caryophanales. The record is from RNAcentral.
AGAGUUUGAUCAUGGCUCAGGACGAACGCUGGCGGCGUGCCUAAUACAUGCAAGUCGAGCGGGGUUUUAAAAGCUUGCUUUUAAAACUUUAGCGGCGGACGGGUGAGUAACACGUGGGCAACCUGCCUGUAAGACUGGGAUAACACCGGGAAACCGGUGCUAAUACCGGAUAAUCCUUUCUGACACAUGUCGGGAAGCUGAAAGACGGUUUCGGCUGUCACUUACAGAUGGGCCCGCGGCGCAUUAGCUAGUUGGUGAGGUAAUGGCUCACCAAGGCAACGAUGCGUAGCCGACCUGAGAGGGUGAUCGGCCACACUGGGACUGAGACACGGCCCAGACUCCUACGGGAGGCAGCAGUAGGGAAUCUUCCGCAAUGGACGAAAGUCUGACGGAGCAACGCCGCGUGAGCGAAGAAGGCCUUCGGGUCGUAAAGCUCUGUUGUCAGGGAAGAACAAGUACCGGAGUAACUGCCGGUACCUUGACGGUACCUGACCAGAAAGCCACGGCUAACUACGUGCCAGCAGCCGCGGUAAUACGUA